CGGCGGACGGGUGAGUAACGCGUGGGUAACCUACCCUGUACACACGGAUAACAUACCGAAAGGUAUGCUAAUACGGGAUAAUAUAUUUGAGAGGCAUCUCUUGAAUAUCAAAGGUGAGCCAGUAUAGGAUGGACCCGCGUCUGAUUAGCUAGUUGGUAAGGUAACGGCUUACCAAGGCGACGAUCAGUAGCCGACCUGAGAGGGUGAUCGGCCACAUUGGGACUGAGACACGGCCCAA
Molecule: ribosomal RNA, 238 nt
Filed under: uncultured bacterium
Lineage: Bacteria
Description: partial 16S ribosomal RNA
Rfam family: Bacterial small subunit ribosomal RNA
Source: RNAcentral